UAAAAACAAAGUCUAGUGUUUUAUCUCUCAGCCGCAUGUUUCAACUUGCCGUUUGCUUCUCCUCGCUGUCAAAGUCAUCGGAACCGGCAAAAUUCAAAGAUGAAAACAUAAAAAGAAGGUUCGUUCAUUUGUAAAGUUGAGUUUCUCAUGUCCAGAUCUGAUUCAUUUGCCCAGUUCUGAUUCAUUUCUUGUUGUUAAUUUCUUGUUGCCCACAUUCACCACUACUCUUACACUCGACGGAGCCAUCAAACAUCAAAACUCAAUAUGCAGGGUGAGUUGACUGAGCACUAUUCUCUUUUUCUAUGUAUCUCAUCUUGUCCUUUGUAUUUUUGUUUGAUUUUUUUUCACUGGCCAGAUCUGAUUCAUUUAUCCUUAUGAAGAAAGUAAAUAUGAAGUGGAGGAAGAGCUUCAAUCAGAAGCAAAUUAAAAGGAAUAGAAGUGGAGGAAGAGUGUUAAUUUAAGGAAGAUCAUGAUCACUGGUGGUCUUUGUUCUAUCUAGUUUAGGUGUUUUGUAAUUUUAAUUUUGGUUUUGUAACAUAUUGAUUGGAACAUUUGUUUUUUUCUUUGGGUUAGGUUCUUAAUUUUUUUUUUUUGGAAUUGUAAAGGAAAAGAAAUUGUAUAUUCUAUUUAGUUAAUUAAUGAAAAACUUUGUGAAAUAAUAAUAAUUUUAUGAAAUAUUCGGUUUAAUAAUUACUAAUUAUUUAAUAAUUUAAAAUUUAAAUUUAACAAAAUUAUUGUGAUUAAUG
RNAcentral lists this long non-coding RNA (746 nucleotides) under Capsella rubella. Its description in RNAcentral is "long non-coding RNA (CRUB_LNC002612)". Lineage: Eukaryota; Viridiplantae; Streptophyta; Magnoliopsida; Brassicales; Brassicaceae. The record is from RNAcentral.